GAUGAACGCUGGCGGCGUGCCUAAUACAUGCAAGUCGAGCGAACGGACGAGAAGCUUGCUUCUCUGAUGUUAGCGGCGGACGGGUGAGUAACACGUGGAUAACCUACCUAUAAGACUGGGAUAACUUCGGGAAACCGGAGCUAAUACCGGAUGAUAUAUUGAACCGCAUGGUUCAAUAGUGAAAGACGGUCUUGCUGUCACUUAUAGAUGGAUCCGCGCUGCAUUAGCUAGUUGGUAAUGUAACGGCUUACCAAGGCAACGAUGCAUAGCCGACCUGAGAGGGUGAUCGGCCACACUGGAACUGAGACACGGUCCAGACUCCUACGGGAGGCAGCAGUAGGGAAUCUUCCGCAAUGGGCGAAAGCCUGACGGAGCAACGCCGCGUGAGUGAUGAAGGUCUUCGGAUCGUAAAACUCUGUUAUUAGGGAAGAACAUAUGUGUAAGUAACUGUGCACAUCUUGACGGUACCUAAUCAGAAAGCCACGGCUAACUACGUG
Molecule: ribosomal RNA, 497 nt
Filed under: uncultured bacterium
Lineage: Bacteria
Description: partial 16S ribosomal RNA
Rfam family: Bacterial small subunit ribosomal RNA
Source: RNAcentral